UACGUAGGCUGCGAGCGUUGUUCGGAAUUACUGGGCGUAAAGAGUGUGUAGGCGGUGUUCCUAGUCUGGUGUGAAAUCUCCCGGCUUAACUGGGAGGGUGCAGCGGAAACUAGAAUGCUAGAGGGUGGGAGAGGUAAGCGGAAUUCCUGGUGUAGCGGUGAAAUGCGUAGAUAUCAGGAGGAACACCUGUGGUGUAGACAGCUUACUGGACCACUUCUGACGCUGAGACACGAAAGCGUGGGUAGCAAACAGG
RNAcentral lists this ribosomal RNA (253 nucleotides) under uncultured bacterium. RNAcentral describes it as "partial 16S ribosomal RNA". It matches the Rfam family "Bacterial small subunit ribosomal RNA", at positions 524 to 776 of the family's 1533-position model. The record is from RNAcentral.